AAGAUGAUGACAGAAGAAGGAGAGGGAAGGUUUAAUGAAAAUUGAAAUUAUAUAUGGAAAAAUGAUACGGAGAAAAACGUGCAAAGUAGUAAUAGAGUAUGUUCUUCCAUAAAUUUCAAUUAUUUUUGGGGUUUUUUUGCAAUACAUAUACCCAAAUUUUGUUUCGCACGUUAUUAUUACCUAUUUUCUAUGUUUUUUUCUCAUUUCUCGAUAAUAUAUAUAGGCUAAAUAUCUAAUGCGUCGACUCCUUUAUGAACCAUCGUGCGUUGAACCUCUCAAAUUUCAGCUUUUUCGAUCGUAUGGUCUUUCGUCUGUCAUGCAUAUGUCAUCUCUUUCGAACAACGUCCUGUUACAAUUUUGAAAAGAGCUGAUAGACGAAAUUUCUAUCAAAC
RNAcentral lists this long non-coding RNA (392 nucleotides) under Zostera marina. RNAcentral describes it as "long non-coding RNA (ZMAR_LNC000157)". The record is from RNAcentral. Lineage: Eukaryota; Viridiplantae; Streptophyta; Magnoliopsida; Alismatales; Zosteraceae.